Neopestalotiopsis sp. 37M is the source of this 87-nucleotide non-coding RNA. The record is from the annotation of a GenBank genome assembly. NCBI's taxonomy places the organism in Eukaryota, Fungi, Ascomycota, Sordariomycetes, Amphisphaeriales, Sporocadaceae.
UCUCGAUUAGUAUAGUGGUCAGUAUGCCAGCUUGUCAUUCGUUCCUCGAAUUCGCUGGAGACCGGGGUUCAAUUCCCCGAUCGAGAG